CUUAUCCAACGUUCUGCUGGCUUGUUUAUGUUGGAUAAGUGAGACUCUACUGUAUAUUUAUUAUCUUAUAUUAUCUGCUUAGAACUGGAUUAUAUGAGGCCCCUUCUACACAGUUGUAUAAAAUGCACACUGAAGUGGAUUAUAUGGUAGUGUGGAGUCAAGAUAAUCCAGUUCAAAGCAGAUAAUAUAAGAUUAUAAAUGGGUUAUAUAGCUGUGUGGAAGGGCCUUGGGUCUAUACUACCAUAUAAUCCAAUUAAAAUCAGAUAAUAUGUAUUUUAUAGGCAGUGUGGAAGAGGCCUAAGUGAGGCCUAACUCUGCCUGUCCACUGGGCUGAAUGAGUUGCUAGGUGUGGUGAAGUGUAAAUUUUGGUUUACAGUUGUUAUUUUAAUUAUAGGUAUAUGUUUGGAAUGGGUAAGUAUUAGAGUUAUCAGUGCUUGGGGGAUGGUAGCCAGCUCAGCAUUCUGAGGCAGGUUGCCAUAGAAAUGUAGGCGGAACCAACUGCCGUUUGGUAAGAGAGAGCAGGUUUUGAAAAGAGAGUCAGUCUGUGAUCAGGGAAUCACAGGGAAGACUGGUUCUAAGGUAGUGAGAACCAGGGAAGUUCAGAUCUCUAGCUUGUGUCGGUUUUAAAUAGGUCAAGUGACUUAUUUGAGUUAGUAGUGGAGUCUGAGUGAUAAAGGGAAAGAAAUCCCAGUUGGAUCUGUAGUGAUCAGUUGAAUUAAGAACAUCAGUUGGAAGAAAAAAAGUUUAAACUGCUCAAGGGAAGAAAUAAUCCUUUUGAGAAUUGUAUCAUCACAUGUUAUCAUUGUAACUGUUGAAGAAGUGUACCUCUAAGUGAGAAGCAACAUUGAAACCGCUAUGCUUAUGUACCUGAAUAAACUUGUUACUGUUUUUCAACAUCCAAGCCUUUGUUACAUACAUUCUAAGCCAAGUUAUGCUACCCUUUAAAGUAAAAGUAAACAUCUCCUUGCAUCUCUGGUGGUUGCAUCGCCCCACUAGGAGACCAAGUGGGCGGAGCUUAGCCUUCUUUUUAAAUGAUUUUUAUUGAAAUUUUCUUACGUGUACAUAAAUUAAAAAGAGUCGAGUAAGUGAGGGAAGGUUAGGAGAGGGAUGGAGGGAUGGGGAAGAAUAGGUCCCAAAGGGGGGGGGGGAGAGCUUAGCCUUCUAACUGGCAGCAAUUGGAUAAAAACAAUUAUUCCUCUCCCUCUAAUUAGGAUUUUCUUUUUCUUUUCUUUUUGUUGUCUUGUCCUUGAGGCAUGGAUGAGGGGUUGUGCUGUCAAUUUUCAAGGUUCUGGGGUGUUUAGUUUUGUUGUUUUGUCCGGUGCCGUGAUUUUAUCACUCAUAUAUAUAUAUAUAUAUAAAAAUAUUCCAUGGCUGCCGGGUGCCAUUGUUUCCCUUCUGUUUUUCUUGACAGGCGAAAGAAUACCUGCACUGUCCUUGCCAGCUAGUCUGCAGUCCCUCUUCUGCAGAGGUCUCGCGGGCAGUGGAUUACAUGGCCCGCAAAAAUCUGAAGAUGGCCACGGACCACUUUCUGGAGUCCGUCGGGAAUUAAGAGAGCUUGGCCUGGGGAUGGCACUCCCCUGUCCCCAUGGGCGGUCUCCCCAUAGGGUUGGAGACAAGGCUGAACCUCACCAUGAUUCCCGUUUCCUUCUUCUCUAUGGGGCUUAUGGUGAAUUGAUAUGCACCAUACUAAAUUCACUGUAUUGUUGCCUGUAGGCAGCGCUUGACCUGUUUCUGGCCAAGGUGAAGGAGGGACCAUGGCUGGCCCAGGAGGGCAAGGAACAGGGCACCCCCACUUUGGAUGCUUUCAGCAGGAUCCCUUCUUACAUUUGAGCCUCCUUCUUUCUUUCUGCAGACAAAAGCAAUGUGGGCCAUCGGCAGGAUCGUCAGACACAUCAGGGACAGCACUUGCCUGGAGGCAUGGCUCCUGGAGCUUCCGCUCGCCUUGGUGACCAACUUCAUUGAGGUCACAAGGCCUGGGUUGGAGGCACCCAGCAGGAACUGAAGCAACAGCUACAUUCCUCCAGAGAACCUCCUCAAGUCCUCCUCCUCCCUACUCCUGCACCUGCUUUCCACCUGGGAGGAAGAUGCUCCGUUGGGGCAGUUAUUCGGCACAUCAGAACCCGGAUGUUCAGGCCUUAGGGUUGAUGGUGAACGAGGAGAAGUCUCAGUUAUACCCCAAGCAGAGGAUUCACUUCAUCGGAGAAGUUAUAGACUCAUCCAUAGAACGAACCUACCUGCCAGAGUAUUGCUUUUGUAAUAUCCGUUCGGCUAUUUCCGAAGUCUGUUCAAGAGGGUAUGCUUGGCAUAUCCAGUCUAUCUUAGGCCAUAUGGCCUCAAUGACAGCAUUGAUAGACCUAGCAAGGCUCUGGAUGCGCCCUCUGCAAAUUUGGUUUCUGGGGUCCUUUGACCCAUUCACCAACAGUCAACAAAUCAGAUUGAAGCCUCCAGCACGGGUCCUCCGCUCCCUGAGGUGAUAGACGAUACGACAGAACGUCCUCACUGGAAUGCCCUUUCAGCCUCCGGUUCCAUCAUGCCAGCUCACCACAGAUGCUUCUUGCUGAGGCUGGGGAGGGCAUCUAGACAAUCUCAUAAUUAACGGGAAGUGGACAGAGCGACAUUGUCCCCUCGAUAUAAAUCUCCUGGAAUUACUAGCAGUGGAAAAGGCCCUGAAUGCCUUCAAACGACUCCUCAGAGGAACAAUAGUGCGUCUAGUAACGGACAACAUGAUUGUGAAGUUCUACCUGAACAAACAAGGUGGAACACUCAAAAAGUCUACUUUACCUCUGCAUGCGGAUUUGGAAUUGGUGCGUCGACAGGUGAAUAAGACUCCAAGCUGUUCAUCUACCAGGGAAAGACAAUAUCCUUGCAGACACCCUCAGCAGGUCACUCUCAACCGAUCACGAGUGGCAAACUGAACAUCAGGGAGUUCCGCCUGUUAGCCCGAUGCUGGGGUUGGCUGGUGAUAGAUCUCUUUGCCUCCCUACAGAACAACCAGUGCCCCGACUACUGCCCCAGGCUCCUCCCGCACACCGCUCCGGGAUGUGUUCCAGUUCACUUGGACAGGACACCUGUUGUACGCGUUUCCCCCAAUCCGCUGAUAGGCAUGACAGUGUCGAAAAUAAUUUCAGACAAUUCCGACUGCAUCCUGGUGACACUGUAGUGGCCCCGUUGUUCUUUUGAUUUUGUUUAAUGUACUGUAUAUUAUCAUUUAUUGUAUUGUUUAAUGUGUUAUGAUUUGUUGUUCUACUUAUAUUCUGUUAUAUUGUAUCAUUCUGGGCAUGGCCCCAUGUAAGCCGCCCCGAGUCCCCGUUGGGGAGAUGGUGGCGGGGUAUAAAUAAAGUUUAUUAUUAUUAUUAUCAA
Anolis carolinensis (green anole) is the source of this 3360-nucleotide long non-coding RNA. RefSeq lists it as uncharacterized. Lineage: Eukaryota; Metazoa; Chordata; Lepidosauria; Squamata; Anolidae. The record is from RefSeq and is a predicted model, not a curated record. The transcript is spliced from 3 exons.